RNAcentral lists this signal recognition particle RNA (103 nucleotides) under human gut metagenome. RNAcentral describes it as "Bacteroidales small SRP". It matches the Rfam family "Bacteroidales small SRP". From Rfam's summary of the family: The non-coding component of the signal recognition particle in Bacteroides The record is from RNAcentral. RNAcentral also lists the same sequence under 1 other name.
AGUCGGGUAAGUCCUAUACGACCAGCUCCCUUUGAACUCCCCCAGGGCCUGACCGCAGCAAGGGUAGAAGGUUGUAGCGGUGCGAUAUAGCAAGCUUACCCUC